Molecule: ribosomal RNA, 521 nt
Filed under: Exophthalmus sp. 7 AMV2011g
Lineage: Eukaryota; Metazoa; Arthropoda; Insecta; Coleoptera; Curculionidae
Description: partial 12S ribosomal RNA
Source: RNAcentral
UUACACUUAUAAUGCGAUAAAAAAAGUUCGGCAAUUAAUUAAUAAAUGUUAAUGAAUAGAUUUCUAAUUUUAUAAGGUGAAAUUUUUAAAGUUAGAGUAUAUUUGUCAUUAUUAUAUGAGGUUAACAAAUUUAGUUUUUAGACUAGGAUUAGAUACCCUAUUAUUCUAAGUUAGAUUAUGGUUGCUUGGUUAGUAGUAGAUAUAGCCUUGAAAAUUAAAGAAGUUGGCGGUAUUUUAGUCUAUUCAGAGGAAUCUGUCCUAUAAUCGAUGGUCCACGAUUUAUUUUACUUACUUUAAUUAGUUUGCAUAUCGCCGUGGGUUGAAUAUUUUUAAAAAAUUGUAAUGUUCAAUAAUUUUUAUAAGAAAAAAAUUCAGGUCAAGAUGUAGUUUAUAGGUAAGAAGAGAUGGGUUACAAUGAGUUUACUUAUACAGAUUGGUAGAUGAAAUUUUACUGUGAAGAUGGAUUUGAGGGUAAUUUUAUUUAAAUUAAUAARAUGAUUUAAGCUCUAAAAUAUGUACAU